RNAcentral lists this ribosomal RNA (229 nucleotides) under uncultured bacterium. RNAcentral's name for it is "partial 16S ribosomal RNA". It matches the Rfam family "Bacterial small subunit ribosomal RNA", at positions 103 to 334 of the family's 1533-position model. The record is from RNAcentral.
CGGGUAGAGUAAUAUAUCGGAACGUGCCCAGUAAUGGGGGAUAGCCCGGCGAAAGCCGGAUUAAUACCGCAUACGACCUACGGGUGAAAGCAGGGGAUCGCAAGACCUUGCGUUAUUGGAGCGGCCGAUAUCAGAUUAGCUUGUUGGUGGGGUAAAAGCCCACCAAGGCGACGAUCUGUAGCUGGUCUGAGAGGACGACCAGCCACACUGGGACUGAGACACGGCCCAG